UACGAAGGGGGCUAGCGUUGUUCGGAAUCACUGGGCGUAAAGCGCGCGUAGGCGGAUUGUUAAGUCAGGGGUGAAGUCCCGAGGCUCAACCUCGGAACUGCCUUUGAUACUGGCGAUCUUGAGUCCGGGAGAGGUGAGUGGAACUCCUAGUGUAGAGGUGAAAUUCGUAGAUAUUAGGAAGAACACCAGUGGCGAAGGCGGCUCACUGGCCCGAUACUGACGCUGAGGUGCGAAAGCGUGGGGAGCAAACAGG
This 253-nucleotide ribosomal RNA is filed under the name uncultured bacterium. RNAcentral describes it as "partial 16S ribosomal RNA". It matches the Rfam family "Bacterial small subunit ribosomal RNA", at positions 524 to 776 of the family's 1533-position model. The record is from RNAcentral.